This 253-nucleotide ribosomal RNA is filed under the name uncultured bacterium. RNAcentral's name for it is "partial 16S ribosomal RNA". It matches the Rfam family "Bacterial small subunit ribosomal RNA", at positions 524 to 776 of the family's 1533-position model. The record is from RNAcentral.
GACGGAGGGCGCGAGCGUUGUCCGGAUUUAUUGGGCGUAAAGAGCGUGUAGGCGGCUUUACAGGUCCGUUGUGAAAACUCGAGGCUCAACCUCGAGACGCCGGUGGAAACCGUAAGGCUAGAGUCCGGAAGAGGAGAGUGGAAUUCCUGGUGUAGCGGUGAAAUGCGCAGAUAUCAGGAGGAACACCCGUGGCGAAAGCGGCUCUCUGGGACGGUACUGACGCUGAGACGCGAAAGCGUGGGGAGCGAACAGG